Molecule: ribosomal RNA, 254 nt
Filed under: uncultured bacterium
Lineage: Bacteria
Description: partial 16S ribosomal RNA
Rfam family: Bacterial small subunit ribosomal RNA
Source: RNAcentral
UACGGGGGAUGCAAGCGUUAUCCGGAUUUAUUGGGUUUAAAGGGUGCGUAGGCUGUGAGGUAAGUCAGCGGUGAAAUGCCCCCGCUCAACGGGGUGAAGUGCCAUUGAUACUGCCUUGCUGGAAUGCGGAUGCCGUGGGAGGAAUGUGUGGUGUAGCGGUGAGAUGCAUAGAUAUCACACAGAACACCGAUUGCGAAGGCAGCUCACGAAUCCGCUAUUGACGCUGAUGCACGAAAGCGUGGGUAUCAAACAGG